This 916-nucleotide long non-coding RNA is filed under the name Homo sapiens (human). Its description in RNAcentral is "non-protein coding lnc-COG5-4:2". Lineage: Eukaryota; Metazoa; Chordata; Mammalia; Primates; Hominidae. The record is from RNAcentral.
ACAGGCGGCGCGACCACGUUUAUUGGCAACAGUUGUUUUCUAAUUGGCGGCAGGUCAGAGAAUGAGUUAGACUUUUGACCUGAUGCUUGGAGGUCGGAGCGCAACUUCUUCAGGAGGACAGACUUUCCACUGCUAAGUGCGGCCCCGGCGGGAGGGUGCCGGGGUCCAGGUCUAAGGAGCGGCGCCGGGCGGCGGGGCUGGAUUGGGUGGUGCAAAUUCAGCGAACGCGCUUAAGACGCACUCCUUUCCGGUCACCUACUCUCUCUUCAUGGUGGGAACUGUUUGUGUCCAGAAUUAAGCUAUAUUUAAUAAAGGGCCAGGAUGAGGUGGUCGUGCAGCAUUUUGUUCUGGAGAACCUAGGAUCAACUGUAUGUCACAACAUAUUCCGUAGGCGUUCCCGUUCCCGUCCAUGGGCUGGGAAGAGACAGUAAACUUUACCGUGAUGUUUGGGGACUGGUACGAAAGGGUGUUAUAGUGACUUUUUAAACGAAGACUUUGAUGUAAAGACUUAUACUUCUCAAUCUAUUCAUCAAGCUGUAAUUGCUGAACAACUAGCAAAACUUGCCCAAGGAAUCAGUCAGUUGGACAGAGAACUACACUUACAGGUUGUUGCAAGACAUGAAGAUUUACUGGCACAAGCAACUGGGAUUGAGUCGUUGGAAGGUGUUCUUCAGAUGAUGCAGACGAGAAUUGGGGCUUUACAGGGAGCUGUUGAUAGGAUAAAAGCAAAAAUUGUUGAACCAUACAAUAAGAUAGUUGCCCGGACUGCACAACUAGCAAGACUUCAGGUUGCCUGUGAUUUGCUUCGGAGGAUUAUUCGUAUCUUGAAUCUCAGUAAGAGACUCCAAGGACAACUGCAAGGGGGAAGUAGAGAGAUAACAAAAGCUGCUCAGAGUCUCAAUGAACUUGAUUCUGU